This 400-nucleotide ribosomal RNA is filed under the name uncultured bacterium. Its description in RNAcentral is "bacterial SSU rRNA". It matches the Rfam family "Bacterial small subunit ribosomal RNA", at positions 355 to 747 of the family's 1533-position model. The record is from RNAcentral.
UGGGGAAUCUUCCGCAAUGGACGAAAGUCUGACGGAGCAACGCCGCGUGAGUGAAGAAGGUUUUCGGAUCGUAAAGCUCUGUCUUUUAGGACGAACGUGCAAUUUGUGAAUAAUGAGUUGUAAUGACGGUACUAGAGGAGGAAGCCACGGCUAACUACGUGCCAGCAGCCGCGGUAAUACGUAGGUGGCGAGCGUUGUCCGGAAUUAUUGGGCGUAAAGGGCGCGUAGGCGGAUAAUUAAGUCUAACUUAAAAGUGCGGGGCUCAACCCCGUGAUGGGCUAGAUACUGGUUAUCUUGAGUGCAGGAGAGGAAAGUGGAAUUCCUAGUGUAGCGGUGAAAUGCGUAGAUAUUAGGAGGAACACCAGUGGCGAAGGCGACUUUCUGGACUGUGUCUGACGCU